AUGAACGCUGGCGGCGUGCCUAAUACAUGCAAGUCGAGCGAACAGACGAGGAGCUUGCUCCUCUGACGUUAGCGGCGGACGGGUGAGUAACACGUGGAUAACCUACCUAUAAGACUGGGAUAACUUCGGGAAACCGGAGCUAAUACCGGAUAAUAUAUUGAACCGCAUGGUUCAAUAGUGAAAGACGGUUUUGCUGUCACUUAUAGAUGGAUCCGCGCCGCAUUAGCUAGUUGGUAAGGUAACGGCUUACCAAGGCAACGAUGCGUAGCCGACCUGAGAGGGGGAACGGCCACACUGGAACUGAGACACGGUCCAGACUCCUACGGGAGGAAGCGGUAGGGAAUCUUCCGCAAUGAGCGAAAGCCUGACGGAGCAACGCCGCGUGAGUGAUGAAGGUCUUCGGAUCUUAAAACUCUGUUAUUAGGGAAGAACAAAUGUGUAAGUAACUAUGCACGUCUUGACGGUACCUAAACAGAAAGCCACGGCUAACUACGUG
RNAcentral lists this ribosomal RNA (496 nucleotides) under uncultured bacterium. Its description in RNAcentral is "partial 16S ribosomal RNA". It matches the Rfam family "Bacterial small subunit ribosomal RNA", at positions 29 to 507 of the family's 1533-position model. The record is from RNAcentral.